Molecule: long non-coding RNA, 2842 nt
Organism: Polyodon spathula (Mississippi paddlefish)
Lineage: Eukaryota; Metazoa; Chordata; Actinopteri; Acipenseriformes; Polyodontidae
Exons: 3
Source: RefSeq, a predicted model, not a curated record
GUGCACAAAAACAAAUACAAUCAUUUCAAGCAGCAAGCUGUGAAUGAAAUGCAAUGCACUGAUGAAAUAUCCUGCUCGGACCUGGCACUAAGUUGUUUCUUGUAAAUGUUUUACCGUUUAAAUCAUUUCAUUCAGUAAUUAAUUUGCCUUUGCACUUGCUCCAAAACAGGCCCCCCCUUUUCCUGUUGUUUAAGACAGAUAGCUCAAGGGCACAUGCACUCAGGGUUCAAAUGAUCACACAGAGUCAGGUGCAGCAGGUUCUCUGCAAAAAUCCCUUAAAGGAAUUUGCAGUGAACAUUUGUCCACCAGAAGAAAAUACUAAAUUAGGAGCUUUUGUUUUUGUACAUCACCUUGAAAUGUCUAGUAGACACCCACACAGUUAUUCACUAAUUGCGGCACAGUGUCCCCAGAAGUCACCAGCCCUAUUAGCUCAGAGAAUGCAUCAUUGCUUGCAAUGCUGUGAUUGGUUCAUUCUUUGCAAUGCUGUGAUUGGUUCAUUGCUUGCAAUGUGAGAAGGCUAUGGCUGCAUCCCCGCAGACCCAGGGUGAGAGGCACCUCCCUCUCAGCCGCCCUUCUUAGCCUUUCUGCGUGCGCAUCUUCCCCCUCCCAUCCGCACGUGAGGAGUUCAGAUGCCAUCAGAAGAAGUGAUGUUAUUCCAGAAAAGGGGACAACAGAAAAAAGAUGGAAGAUAGAGAGAAAAAGCAAUCUGGCAGAGUUGUUGUCAAAGGUCCUUGGACAACCAUAACUGGCCUAAGAACAUGCCGGUUAUUCGUAAGUGGUGGUGUGUGCUCCUUAUGGAGAGCUUCUCCCUUGGAAGGUAUGUGUAAGAUUCUGUUAUCGCUUGUUAUUUUCGUGAAUAACGAUUAACUCUGUAUUGAUAUACUAAGUUAGUAUAUAUAUUUUUUAUGUUGAAUACCCAUGGAAGACAGGUAUUAGUCUGUGUAUUCAAAGUUCACAAUAAUUAUGAAUAACGCCUGAAAAACAUGAGUCUUCGAAUACGUGGAAAGUAUUUAAUUCAUAAUUACAUGAAAUUAAAGGUUUAAGGCUGUCCAUGUGUUAACAGGUGACACACAGGAAGCUGAGAUAGGGGGAAAAAACAGCGACUGCAGACUCCCACAGAGAAACAGGUAUUACCCUCUGUGGUGUCUCCAGUGGAUUCCAGUUGUGGUCUCAUAAAGGAAAAUUAGCUAAAGCAAAACAAUUAACUCUGAAUUAAUGGAAAGCACUUAGUCAAUCACAUUAAUAAUUCCGGGUUUCUUUGAAGGAUCAAAGUCAAGUGAAGGAUCCAAUCAGAUAACGGUAUGUUUUCACUCUUAUUUAAGUGUACUACAGUGUACGGCAGAUUUGUUAUUGCAUGUAGGUUUCUGACAGUCUUAGAAAAGAAACAUUAUCAUGGCAACAUGGGUGUUGAUUGGAGUUAAUUGAACAAUCAACCCCAGCCACCUGCUAUAAAAGCAGCACUCCCUCAAUUGGAAACCUUUUUUUUCUUAAUAAAACCCCUUUGUUUACCUGCAUUGUUGCCCCUGGGCCAUCCUGUUACAUGCAUAUAUAGCGGACUCUUGCUGAGGCUCUCAAUCAAAAUAUAGCUAUCUUUAAAAAGUCACUGGAGUGCAUCGAAACACCAUGGCGUUGUUUUAUGCUUCCUCAUGCUUAACAAUUCUCUUAUGCAUAACAAUGUAAAGAGAACAUGCAGUUAGCCUACAUCAGUGGUUCUCAACCCUGAGGUCGGGAUCCUAAGCCAUAUACAGUCAAUUUACAAAAAGAUUAUUGUCGAACAUGUACAUAUAUUAGCAUGUUGUGUUGGUCAUAUUUAUUGUAAUUGAACGGUAUAAAGCAUUUGCAUGUUUAAAAUAUAAAGUAUAUGGCUAUUAUUUAAAGUUGUAUUUGUAAGGUUGUAUUUAUGCUCAAAGGUUCAUAUUGUCCGCAACAUUAUGGGGGUCACCAAAUAUUUUCUUUUUUGGAAUGGGGUCAUUUGGAGAAAGAGACUGGGAAGGGCUGGCCUACAUUACAGUGUCUGAGCAAGCAGUUUCUGAUUACACUAGUAGCUAGCAUGAAACGACGCCACAGGCAACACAACAAGCUAGCUGAUCUAUCCUUAAUCUUUUACAGAGUUGCGGUGAGCAGGAGCCUAACCCGGCAGUCUCUGGGCGUAAGGCGGGACUACACCCUGGACAGGACCAUCACAGGGCACCACACACACAGGGCAAUUUAGAGUUGACAAUCAACCUGAACAGCAUGUCUGGACUGCGGGAGGAAACCAGAAUACGCGGAGAAAACCCAGGCGAACACAAGGAGAACAUGCAAACUCCACACAGACUGACCCCCUAAGCCGGAUUUGAACCCAGGACCCUGGCGCUGUCAGGCAGCAGUGCUAACCACAUAUAAAUAAAUAAAAAUCACUUACAUUUUUACUUUUAUUUUGUUUCAUAAUGUUGUCCCUUAUUUUAAGCAGCGUAUGUUAGAGUAACUUAUGCUUUAGUUAACGCUAGCUGUAAUAAGCUAAUGGUAAUUAGCGAGGCUUGUUAACGUUAGUAAUGACUCAAUUUGUAGUCAAGCACUGUUAACGUUAGCUUGUAAACUGGCUAGGUUGGCUGAUAUGACUAAAUCUGUCACGUUUCUUAAUUUCUCCUUAUAAACUAAUAUGUGGCUAAUACGACUUUCAAUUUGUUGUCAUGCUGUGAUUGAUUAAUUGCUUGCAAUGCUGUGAUUGAUUAAUUUCUUGCAAUGCUGUGAUUGAUUCAUUGCUUGCAAUGCUGUGAUUGAUUCAUUGCUUGCAAUGCUGUGAUUGAUUCAUUGCUUGCAAUGCUGUGAUUGAUUCAUUGCUUGCAAUGCUGUGGAUUGG